Molecule: ribosomal RNA, 782 nt
Filed under: uncultured bacterium
Lineage: Bacteria
Description: bacterial SSU rRNA
Rfam family: Bacterial small subunit ribosomal RNA
Source: RNAcentral
GAGUUUGAUCCUGGCUCAGGAUGAACGCUGGCGGCGUGCUUAACACAUGCAAGUCGAGCGAAGCACUAAGACGGAUUUCUUUGGAUUGAAGUCUUUGUGACUAAGCGGCGGACGGGUGAGUAACACGUGGAUAACCUGCCUUAUACUGGGGGAUAACAGCCAGAAAUGGCUGCUAAUACCGCAUAAGCGCACGGCGCCGCAUGGCGCAGUGUGAAAAACUCCGGUGGUAUAAGAUGGAUCCGCGCCUGAUUAGCUAGUUGGCGGGGCAGCGGCCCACCAAGGCGACGAUCAGUAGCCGGCCUGAGAGGGCGACCGGCCACAUUGGGACUGAGACACGGCCCAAACUCCUACGGGAGGCAGCAGUGGGGAAUAUUGCACAAUGGGGGGAACCCUGAUGCAGCGACGCCGCGUGAGUGAAGAAGUAUUUCGGUAUGUAAAGCUCUAUCAGCAGGGAAGAAGAUGACGGUACCUGACUAAGAAGCCCCGGCUAACUACGUGCCAGCAGCCGCGGUAAUACGUAGGGGGCAAGCGUUAUCCGGAUUUACUGGGUGUAAAGGGAGCGUAGACGGCAGGGCAAGUCUGGAGUGAAAGCCCGGGGCCCAACCCCGGGACUGCUUUGGAAACUGCCAUGCUAGAGUGCUGGAGAGGUAAGCGGAAUUCCUGGUGUAGCGGUGAAAUGCGUAGAUAUUAGGAGGAACACCAGUGGCGAAGGCGGCUUACUGGACAGUAACUGACGUUGAGGCUCGAAAGCGUGGGGAGCAAACAGGAUUAGAUACCCUGGU